UAGGGAAUCUUCGGCAAUGGACGAAAGUCUGACCGAGCAACGCCGCGUGAGUGAAGAAGGUUUUCGGAUCGUAAAACUCUGUUGUUAGAGAAGAACAAGGACGUUAGUAACUGAACGUCCCCUGACGGUAUCUAACCAGAAAGCCACGGCUAACUACGUGCCAGCAGCCGCGGUAAUACGUAGGUGGCAAGCGUUGUCCGGAUUUAUUGGGCGUAAAGCGAGCGCAGGCGGUUUCUUAAGUCUGAUGUGAAAGCCCACGGCUCAACCGGGGAGGGUUAUUGGAAACUGGGGGACUUGAGUGCAGAAGAGGAGAGUGGAAUUCCAUGUGUAGGGGUGAAAUGCGUAGAUAUAUGGAGGAACACCAGUGGCGAAGGCGGCUCUCUGGUCUGUAACUGACGCUGAGGCGCGAAAGCGUGGGGAGCAAACAGG
Molecule: ribosomal RNA, 429 nt
Filed under: Gemmatimonadota bacterium
Lineage: Bacteria; Pseudomonadati; Gemmatimonadota
Description: Gemmatimonadetes bacterium partial 16S ribosomal RNA
Rfam family: Bacterial small subunit ribosomal RNA
Source: RNAcentral